CGAUGGGAUACCUAAAUUUCCCAUGGCGAACUGCUCAGUAACACAUGAUCAACUUGCCCUAUAGAGAGAAAUAACCUCGGGAAACUGAGGAUAAUUUUUCAUAGUUGAAUUGGCUUGGAAAAGUUUUUCAAUAAAAAGGAUAAAGAGAAUGGUCUUUAUUCGCUAUAGGAUAGGAUCGUGUUCGAUUAUGGUAGUUGGUGAGGUAAAGGCUCACCAAGCCGAUAAUCGAUAGGGGCCGUGAGAGCGGGAGCCCCGAGAUGGGUACUGAGACAACGACCCAGGCCUCACGAGGCGCAGCAGGCGCGAAACCUCCACAAUACACGAAAGUGUGAUGGGGUUACCCAAAGUGUUCAAUAUUGAACUGUGGUAGGUGAGUAAUGUUCCCUACUAGAAAGGAGAGGGCAAGGCUGGUGCCAGCCGCCGCGGUAAAACCAGCUCUUCAAGUGGUCGGGAUAAUUAUUGGGCUUAAAGUGUCCGUAGCCGGUUUAGUAAGUUCCUGGUAAAAUCGGGUAGCUUAACUAUCUAUAUGCUAGGAAUACUACUAUACUAGAGGGCGGGAGAGGUCUGAGGUACUACAGGGGUAGGGGUGAAAUCUUAUAAUCCUUGUAGGACCACCAGUGGCGAAGGCGUCAGACUGGAACGCGCCUGACGGUGAGGGACGAAAGCCAGGGGAGCGAACCGGAUUAGAUUCCCGGGUAGUCCUGGCUGUAAACGAUGCAUACUAGGUGAUGGUACGGCCAUGAGCCGUGUCAGUGCCGUAGGGAAACCGUUAAGUGUGCCGCCUGGGAAGUACGGUCGCAAGGCUAAAACUUAA
RNAcentral lists this ribosomal RNA (814 nucleotides) under uncultured crenarchaeote. Its description in RNAcentral is "bacterial SSU rRNA". It matches the Rfam family "Archaeal small subunit ribosomal RNA", at positions 60 to 859 of the family's 1478-position model. Lineage: Archaea; Thermoproteati; Thermoproteota. The record is from RNAcentral.